Molecule: transfer RNA, 57 nt
Filed under: Cylisticus convexus
Lineage: Eukaryota; Metazoa; Arthropoda; Malacostraca; Isopoda; Cylisticidae
Description: tRNA-Trp
Source: RNAcentral
UAUUUCUCUAAGUUAAGAAAACUCCUAUCCUUCAAAGAUAAAAUUAUUGGGUUAGAU